This 329-nucleotide unclassified non-coding RNA is filed under the name uncultured fungus. RNAcentral's name for it is "partial contains 5.8S ribosomal RNA and internal transcribed spacer 2". The stretch from base 1 to 133 matches the Rfam family "5.8S ribosomal RNA", at positions 22 to 154 of the family's 154-position model. Lineage: Eukaryota; Fungi. The record is from RNAcentral.
UGGUUCUGGCAUCGAUGAAGAACGCAGCGAAAUGCGAUAAGUAAUACGAAUUGCAGAAUUCAGCGAGUCAUCGAAUCUUUGAACGCACAUUGCGCCCGCUAGCAUUCUAGCAGGCAUGUCUGUCCGAGCGUCAUUUCACCCUUCAGGCUGUCUUCGGGCUGUCUGGUGUUGGGGCGCUGCAGCGAUGCUGCAGGCUCUGAAAUACGUCGGUGAGCCCGUCGAAGUUCCCUAGCGCAGUGAUGUUAAUUCUCGCUCAGGGCGCCCGGCUACGCUCUCCUUGCAUAUUCAGUAACAUACUUGACCUCGGAUCAGACAAGGCUACCCGCUGA